UACGAAGGGGGCUAGCGUUGCUCGGAAUCACUGGGCGUAAAGGGUGCGUAGGCGGCCGAUUAAGUCGGGGGUGAGAGCCUGUGGCUCAACCACAGAAUUGCCUUCGAUACUGAUUGGCUUGAGACCGGAAGAGGUCAGUGGAACUGCGAGUGUAGAGGUGAAAUUCGUAGAUAUUCGCAAGAACACCAGUGGCGAAGGCGGCUGACUGGUCCGGUUCUGACGCUGAGGCGCGAAAGCGUGGGGAGCAAACAGG
Molecule: ribosomal RNA, 253 nt
Filed under: uncultured bacterium
Lineage: Bacteria
Description: partial 16S ribosomal RNA
Rfam family: Bacterial small subunit ribosomal RNA
Source: RNAcentral